RNAcentral lists this ribosomal RNA (463 nucleotides) under uncultured bacterium. RNAcentral's name for it is "bacterial SSU rRNA". It matches the Rfam family "Bacterial small subunit ribosomal RNA", at positions 338 to 793 of the family's 1533-position model. The record is from RNAcentral.
CCUACGGGAGGCAGCAGUGGGGAAUUUUGGACAAUGGGCGAAAGCCUGAUCCAGCCAUGCCGCGUGCAGGAUGAAGGCCUUCGGGUUGUAAACUGCUUUUGUACGGAACGAAAAGCCUCUUUCUAAUAAAGAGGGGUCAUGACGGUACCUGAAGAAUAAGCACCGGCUAACUACGUGCCAGCAGCCGCGGUAAUACGUAGGGUGCAAGCGUUAAUCGGAAUUACUGGGCGUAAAGCGUGCGCAGGCGGUUAUGCAAGACAGAGGUGAAAUCCCCGGGCUCAACCUGGGAACUGCCUUUGUGACUGCAUAGCUAGAGUGCGGCAGAGGGGGAUGGAAUUCCGCGUGUAGCAGUGAAAUGCGUAGAUAUGCGGAGGAACACCGAUGGCGAAGGCAAUCCCCAGGGCCUGCACUGACGCUCAUGCACGAAAGCGUGGGGAGCAAACAGGAUUAGAUACCCUGGUAG